AGAAACUUAGGAUAAUAUUAAACCGAAGGCCUUCAAAGCCUUAAACAAGAGUUAGACCCUCUUAGUUUCUG
Molecule: transfer RNA, 71 nt
Filed under: Drymodes brunneopygia
Lineage: Eukaryota; Metazoa; Chordata; Aves; Passeriformes; Petroicidae
Rfam family: tRNA
About the family: Transfer RNA (tRNA) molecules are approximately 80 nucleotides in length.
Source: Rfam by way of RNAcentral